UGAAGAGUUUGAUCAUGGCUCAGAUUGAACGCUGGCGGCAGGCCUAACACAUGCAAGUCGAACGGUAACAGGAAGCAGCUUGCUGCUUCGCUGACGAGUGGCGGACGGGUGAGUAAUGUCUGGGAAACUGCCUGAUGGAGGGGGAUAACUACUGGAAACGGUGGCUAAUACCGCAUAACGUCGCAAGACCAAAGAGGGGGACCUUCGGGCCUCUUGCCAUCAGAUGUGCCCAGAU
This 235-nucleotide ribosomal RNA is filed under the name Salmonella enterica subsp. enterica serovar Typhimurium. RNAcentral's name for it is "partial 16S ribosomal RNA". It matches the Rfam family "Bacterial small subunit ribosomal RNA", at positions 1 to 236 of the family's 1533-position model. Lineage: Bacteria; Pseudomonadati; Pseudomonadota; Gammaproteobacteria; Enterobacterales; Enterobacteriaceae. The record is from RNAcentral.